GGAUGUGAUCAUACCAGCACUAAAGCACCAGAUCGCAUCAAAACUGCAAGGUUAAGCGUGCUUGGGCGAGAGUAGUACUAGGAUGGGUGACCUCCUGGGAAGUUUUCAUGUUGCAUUCC
This is a non-coding RNA of Zea mays, 119 nucleotides long. The record is from Rfam. NCBI's taxonomy places the organism in Eukaryota, Viridiplantae, Streptophyta, Magnoliopsida, Poales, Poaceae.